Molecule: RNA transcript, 476 nt
Organism: Tripterygium wilfordii
Lineage: Eukaryota; Viridiplantae; Streptophyta; Magnoliopsida; Celastrales; Celastraceae
Exons: 3
Source: RefSeq, a predicted model, not a curated record
AAGAUGCCUAAGUUCGAUCCAUGGCCUGUUUUCUUCAAGCGAGAGUGGCACCGAAACUGGCCGUUCCUGGUCGGUUUCGCCGUAACCGGUGCCAUUAUCACCAAAUUAUCUAUGGGCUUUACUGAGGAAGAUCGUAAGAACUCGCCCUUUGUUCAGAGGCACAAGAGGUGAUUUCUGAAAGGCCAGUAUGAUCUGGAGACAUGGAGACAUAUUGCGAUCUUUCAAUUCAGCUGUUAUUUUGACUUGAAUAAUGCAUAGCACCAUUACUAAAUGGUUCUUUUUUCCCCCUUUCUGGUUGAACUGAUCAUCUUUGAAAACAGAAAAACAAGAAUGCUUUGAACUGUGGCUUGAUAUGUAGUUUUGUAUCUGGGGAUCAGUUUGGGAGUUUCACUUUUCUUUGUUUACUGCUAAACCUUUAUGGCCAGUUUGAAAUGUUUGCGAUGGAAUCUCAUUGAGUUCAAAAUCUUUUUCUUUCA